GAUGAGGAGUCAGGUGGAGGCUCCAACCCAUUCCAGCACCUUGAGAAGAGUGCGGUACUCCAGGAGGCCCGUGUAUUUAAUGAAACUCCCAUCAACCCUCGGAAAUGUGCCCACAUCCUCACCAAGAUUCUUUAUCUCAUAAACCAGGGGGAGCACCUGGGGACCACGGAAGCGACCGAGGCCUUCUUUGCCAUGACCAAGCUCUUUCAGUCCAAUGAUCCCACACUCCGUCGGAUGUGCUACUUGACCAUCAAGGAGAUGUCUUGCA
Molecule: unclassified non-coding RNA, 268 nt
Filed under: Hevea brasiliensis (rubber tree)
Lineage: Eukaryota; Viridiplantae; Streptophyta; Magnoliopsida; Malpighiales; Euphorbiaceae
Source: RNAcentral